UCCCUGGUGGCUUGGAGGGUAAAGAAUCCACCUGCAAUGUGGGAGACCCAGGUUCGAUUCCUGGGCUGGGAA
Molecule: transfer RNA, 72 nt
Filed under: Ovis aries (sheep)
Lineage: Eukaryota; Metazoa; Chordata; Mammalia; Artiodactyla; Bovidae
Rfam family: tRNA
About the family: Transfer RNA (tRNA) molecules are approximately 80 nucleotides in length. Their secondary structure includes four short double-helical elements and three loops (D, anti-codon, and T loops).
Source: Rfam by way of RNAcentral